AUGGGGUGCAGCAGGGGCGAAAACUUGACAAUACGAGAAAUCGUGAUCAGGGAACUCCAAUUGUCCCCGUUUUUACGGGGUUCUGAAUUGACUCUAAACAGGUCGAGUAAUAGGGGCGGGAAAUAUCGGUGCCAGCCGCCGCGGUAAUACCGAAGCCCCAAGUGGUCGUCGUUCUUAUUGGGCCUAAAACGUCCGUAGCCGGUUUGGUACAUUCGUGGGUAAAUCAGACAGCUUAACUGUCUGAAUUCUGCGAGCACGGCCAAACUUGAGACCGGGAGAGGUGUAGGGUACCUGCGGGGUAGGGGUAAAAUCCUGUCAUCCCGUAGGGACCACCAGUUGCGAAGGCUCUACACUAGAACGGAUCUGACGGUCAGGGACGAAGCCUAGGGGCACGAACCGGAUUAGAUACCCGGGUAGUCCUAGGUGUAAACGCUGUGGACUUUGUGUCGGGAAUUCUUCGAGGAUUCUCGGUGCCGGAGUGAAGAUGUUAAGUCCACUGCCUGGGGAGUACGGUCGCAAGGCUGAAACUUAAAGGAAUUGGCGGGGGAGCAC
RNAcentral lists this ribosomal RNA (552 nucleotides) under uncultured euryarchaeote. RNAcentral's name for it is "bacterial SSU rRNA". It matches the Rfam family "Archaeal small subunit ribosomal RNA", at positions 325 to 879 of the family's 1478-position model. The record is from RNAcentral. Lineage: Archaea; Methanobacteriati; Methanobacteriota.